UACAGAGGGGGCAGGCGUUGUUCGGAAUUACUGGGCGUAAAGAGCGCGCAGGCGGUCGUUCAAGUCGCGUGUGAAAGCCCCCGGCUCAACUGGGGAGGGUCACGCGAUACUGAUCGACUCGAAGGCAGGAGAGGGUAGUGGAAUUCCCGGUGUAGUGGUGAAAUGCGUAGAUAUCGGGAGGAACACCAGUGGCGAAGGCGACUACCUGGCCUGUUCUUGACGCUGAGGCGCGAAAGCUAGGGGAGCAAACGGG
This 253-nucleotide ribosomal RNA is filed under the name uncultured bacterium. RNAcentral's name for it is "partial 16S ribosomal RNA". It matches the Rfam family "Bacterial small subunit ribosomal RNA", at positions 524 to 776 of the family's 1533-position model. The record is from RNAcentral.